GACGAACGCUGGCGGCGUGCCUAAUACAUGCAAGUUGAGCGAUGAAGAUUGGUGCUUGCACCAAUUUGAAGAGCAGCGAACGGGUGAGUAACGCGUGGGGAAUCUGCCUUUGAGCGGGGGACAACAUUUGGAAACGAAUGCUAAUACCGCAUAACAACUUUAAACAUAAGUUUUAAGUUUGAAAGAUGCAAUUGCAUCACUCAAAGAUGAUCCCGCGUUGUAUUAGCUAGUUGGUGAGGUAAAGGCUCACCAAGGCGAUGAUACAUAGCCGACCUGAGAGGGUGAUCGGCCACAUUGGGACUGAGACACGGCCCAAACUCCUACGGGAGGCAGCAGUAGGGAAUCUUCGGCAAGAGACGAAAGUCUGACCGAGCAACGCCGCGUGAGUGAAGAAGGUUUUCGGAUCGUAAAACUCUGUUGGUAGAGAAGAACGUUGGUGAGAGUGGAAAGCUCAUCAAGUGACGGUAACUACCCAGAAAGGGACGGCUAACUACGUG
RNAcentral lists this ribosomal RNA (497 nucleotides) under uncultured bacterium. Its description in RNAcentral is "partial 16S ribosomal RNA". It matches the Rfam family "Bacterial small subunit ribosomal RNA", at positions 28 to 507 of the family's 1533-position model. The record is from RNAcentral.